UACGUAGGGGGCAAGCGUUGUCCGGAAUCAUUGGGCGUAAAGCGCUUGUAGGCGGCACGUCAAGUCGCGUGUGAAAUCCCCAGGCUUAACCCGGGAAGUGCGCGCGAAACUGACGAGCUUGAGUGCCGGAGAGGGUCGCGGAAUUCCCGGUGUAGAGGUGAAAUUCGUAGAUAUCGGGAGGAACACCAGUGGCGAAGGCGGCGACCUGGACGGACACUGACGCUGAGACGCGAAAGCGUGGGGAGCAAACAGG
RNAcentral lists this ribosomal RNA (253 nucleotides) under uncultured bacterium. Its description in RNAcentral is "partial 16S ribosomal RNA". It matches the Rfam family "Bacterial small subunit ribosomal RNA", at positions 524 to 776 of the family's 1533-position model. The record is from RNAcentral.